This 253-nucleotide ribosomal RNA is filed under the name uncultured bacterium. Its description in RNAcentral is "partial 16S ribosomal RNA". It matches the Rfam family "Bacterial small subunit ribosomal RNA", at positions 524 to 776 of the family's 1533-position model. The record is from RNAcentral.
UACGUAGGGUGCAAGCGUUACUCGGAAUUACUGGGCGUAAAGCGUGCGCAGGCGGCUUUGCAAGACAGAUGUGAAAUCCCCGGGCUUAACCUGGGAACUGCAUUUGUGACUGCAUGGCUAGAGUGCGGCAGAGGGGGAUGGAAUUCCGCGUGUAGCAGUGGAAUGCGUAGAUAUGCGGAGGAACACCGAUGGCGAAGGCAAUCCCCUGGGCCUGCACUGACGCUCAUGCACGAAAGCGUGGGGAGCAAACAGG